UGGGGACUAUUGCACAAUGGGCGCAAGCCUGAUGCAGCCAUGCCGCGUGUGUGAAGAAGGCCUUCGGGUUGUAAAGCACUUUCAGCGGGGAGGAAGGCGUUAAGGUUAAUAACCUUGGCGAUUGACGUUACCCGCAGAAGAAGCACCGGCUAACUCCGUGCCAGCAGCCGCGGUAAUACGGAGGGUGCAAGCGUUAAUCGGAAUUACUGGGCGUAAAGCGCACGCAGGCGGUCUGUCAAGUCGGAUGUGAAAUCCCCGGGCUCAACCUGGGAACUGCAUUCGAAACUGGCAGGCUAGAGUCUUGUAGAGGGGGGUAGAAUUCCAGGUGUAGCGGUGAAAUGCGUAGAGAUCUGGAGGAAUACCGGUGGCGAAGGCGGCCCCCUGGACAAAGACUGACGCUCAGGUGCGAAAGCGUGGGGAGCAAACAGG
Molecule: ribosomal RNA, 429 nt
Filed under: Chloroflexota bacterium
Lineage: Bacteria; Bacillati; Chloroflexota
Description: Chloroflexi bacterium partial 16S ribosomal RNA
Rfam family: Bacterial small subunit ribosomal RNA
Source: RNAcentral